AUGGAUCUGACUACAUUACUAUUUACAGAUUUUAACUUUGAUUGCUACUGCAGUGUCAUGGUUGGUUCCGGAAGGAAGCGGCGGACCCAAGUGCAGAGCGGAAUUCGUGGUUUAUUCAGGGAAAUCCAAGAGUGGAGGUCAAGGGACAGGCAGUCGGUCCUCGAGGCGCGAACGUCGUUACAAGGAGAAUCAGAAAGGCAAGCAACCACAAUCUUACAGUGUUGCGGGAAUACUGAUCCACAGCCUGCGCUCUUCCAACCUACAAAACCAGGACAGUCCAUAGCUGCAGCGACACCCUGCAGGUCGGCAGAAUCCUGUGUUUUGUCCUCGGAAUAACUUGUCACAUCCAAGGAAUUACAACCUCUGCAUCCAGCUGUGGAUCUGAGUGCUCCGUAGCCCCCUUCUACACCUGAAACAGGUAAACCACGUUUGCUGCCUUGUACAUAAACGUUCAUUUAGUUCACAAUUUUACAAAAGGGGACUUAAGGGUUAAUAGUACAGAACUGCACUAAAUGGAGACAGCAACACGGAUCAGCCACACAAAUGCAUUUUUGGUGUUUAAGGUGUAGCAAUGCUGGCCUUAGAAUGAGUGGCGUGGUAGUGCAGCGAGUAGCACUGCUGUCUCAGCACCUGGCUGGUAUAAGAGGAUAUAGGUUCGAUCCCCACUUAGUCUGUGCGGAGUUUGCAUGGGUUUCCUCCGGGUGCUCUGGUUUCCUCCCA
This 720-nucleotide long non-coding RNA is filed under the name Scleropages formosus (Asian bonytongue). RNAcentral's name for it is "lncRNA (ENSSFOG00015030098.1)". The record is from RNAcentral. Lineage: Eukaryota; Metazoa; Chordata; Actinopteri; Osteoglossiformes; Osteoglossidae.